Molecule: ribosomal RNA, 1355 nt
Filed under: Escherichia coli
Lineage: Bacteria; Pseudomonadati; Pseudomonadota; Gammaproteobacteria; Enterobacterales; Enterobacteriaceae
Description: partial 23S ribosomal RNA
Rfam family: Bacterial large subunit ribosomal RNA
Source: RNAcentral
UAAGCGUGUAGGCUGGUUUUCCAGGCAAAUCCGGAAAACUAAGGCUGAGGCGUGAUGACGAGGCACUACGGUGCUGAAGCAACAAAUGCCCUGCUUCCAGGAAAAGCCUCUAAGCAUCAGGUAACAUCAAAUCGUACCCCAAACCGACACAGGUGGUCAGGUAGAGAAUACCAAGGCGCUUGAGAGAACUCGGGUGAAGGAACUAGGCAAAAUGGUGCCGUAACUUCGGGAGAAGGCACGCUGAUAUGUAGGUGAAGUCCCUCGCGGAUGGAGCUGAAAUCAGUCGAAGAUACCAGCUGGCUGCAACUGUUUAUUAAAAACACAGCACUGUGCAAACACGAAAGUGGACGUAUACGGUGUGACGCCUGCCCGGUGCCGGAAGGUUAAUUGAUGGGGUCAGCGCAAGCGAAGCUCUUGAUCGAAGCCCCGGUAAACGGCGGCCGUAACUAUAACGGUCCUAAGGUAGCGAAAUUCCUUGUCGGGUAAGUUCCGACCUGCACGAAUGGCGUAAUGAUGGCCAGGCUGUCUCCACCCGAGACUCAGUGAAAUUGAACUCGCUGUGAAGAUGCAGUGUACCCGCGGCAAGACGGAAAGACCCCGUGAACCUUUACUAUAGCUUGACACUGAACAUUGAGCCUUGAUGUGUAGGAUAGGUGGGAGGCUUUGAAGUGUGGACGCCAGUCUGCAUGGAGCCGACCUUGAAAUACCACCCUUUAAUGUUUGAUGUUCUAACGUUGACCCGUAAUCCGGGUUGCGGACAGUGUCUGGUGGGUAGUUUGACUGGGGCGGUCUCCUCCUAAAGAGUAACGGAGGAGCACGAAGGUUGGCUAAUCCUGGUCGGACAUCAGGAGGUUAGUGCAAUGGCAUAAGCCAGCUUGACUGCGAGCGUGACGGCGCGAGCAGGUGCGAAAGCAGGUCAUAGUGAUCCGGUGGUUCUGAAUGGAAGGGCCAUCGCUCAACGGAUAAAAGGUACUCCGGGGAUAACAGGCUGAUACCGCCCAAGAGUUCAUAUCGACGGCGGUGUUUGGCACCUCGAUGUCGGCUCAUCACAUCCUGGGGCUGAAGUAGGUCCCAAGGGUAUGGCUGUUCGCCAUUUAAAGUGGUACGCGAGCUGGGUUUAGAACGUCGUGAGACAGUUCGGUCCCUAUCUGCCGUGGGCGCUGGAGAACUGAGGGGGGCUGCUCCUAGUACGAGAGGACCGGAGUGGACGCAUCACUGGUGUUCGGGUUGUCAUGCCAAUGGCACUGCCCGGUAGCUAAAUGCGGAAGAGAUAAGUGCUGAAAGCAUCUAAGCACGAAACUUGCCCCGAGAUGAGUUCUCCCUGACUCCUUGAGAGUCCUGAAGGAACGUUGAAG